Molecule: ribosomal RNA, 468 nt
Filed under: uncultured bacterium
Lineage: Bacteria
Description: bacterial SSU rRNA
Rfam family: Bacterial small subunit ribosomal RNA
Source: RNAcentral
UACCAGACUCCUACGGGAGGCAGCAGUGAGGAAUAUUGGUCAAUGGGCUUACGCCUGAACCAGCCAAGUCGCGUGAGGGAAGACUGCCCUAUGGGUUGUAAACCUCUUUUGUCAGGGAGCAACGCCGGCUACGUGUAGCCGGACUGAGAGUACCUGAAGAAAAAGCAUCGGCUAACUCCGUGCCAGCAGCCGCGGUAAUACGUAGGUGGCAAGCGUUAUCCGGAUUUACUGGGUGUAAAGGGCGUGUAGGCGGGGACGCAAGUCAGAUGUGAAAACCACGGGCUCAACCUGUGGCCUGCAUUUGAAACUGUGUUUCUUGAGUACUGGAGAGGCAGACGGAAUUCCUAGUGUAGCGGUGAAAUGCGUAGAUAUUAGGAGGAACCCCAGUGGCGAAGGCGGCUUGCUGGACAGAGACUGACGUUGAGGCUCGAAAGCGUGGGGAGCAAACAGGAUUAGAUACCCGCGUAA